UACGUAGGUGACAAGCGUUGUCCGGAUUUACUGGGCGUAAAGAGCGCGCAGGCGGUCGAUCAAGUCGAGUGUGAAAGCCCCCGGCUCAACUGGGGAGGGUCAUUCGAUACUGAUCGACUCGAAGGCAGGAGAGGGAAGUGGAAUUCCCGGUGUAGUGGUGAAAUGCGUAGAUAUCGGGAGGAACACCAGUGGCGAAGGCGACUUCCUGGCCUGUUCUUGACGCUGAGGCGCGAAAGCUAGGGUAGCAAACGGG
RNAcentral lists this ribosomal RNA (253 nucleotides) under uncultured bacterium. RNAcentral describes it as "partial 16S ribosomal RNA". It matches the Rfam family "Bacterial small subunit ribosomal RNA", at positions 524 to 776 of the family's 1533-position model. The record is from RNAcentral.